Molecule: long non-coding RNA, 587 nt
Filed under: Pan troglodytes (chimpanzee)
Lineage: Eukaryota; Metazoa; Chordata; Mammalia; Primates; Hominidae
Description: lincRNA
Source: RNAcentral
AGACUGAGAAAGUGCCACAGGGCGGGGGCCGCAUCCGCCCCUCGGCUUCUGGUUACUGACCCGACGGCUUUGUGAGUGAAAGUGAAGAGACACUUCGAGGCAGGAGGUCCUGGAACCAAUCCCCUCUGAUACUGAGAGACAACUAUUACACAAGAGAAAUAUUCUACCAUUCACAAAAUCUCGUUUAAGUGUCGUGAAAUACAAACACCAGGGAAUCAAGAACUUUAGAAAAUUGUGGCUGUGUUCCCAUAUGGGGUACAAAGGACCAGUGAGUCCCAUUUGUUGUGGUUCCUGCAUUCAAUGACUCCAGAUGUGCCACCACCGAGCUAGUCUUAUGACAACCUAGAAGGCAAAUUGGGAUGGCCCUAUAUUUGUCACUGAGAGCAGAAGGGUUGAGAACUUAGAUCCUGACAGGAGGCCCACCUUUAUUGGAGAAAUGGCUCUGCAACUUAGGACUAUUACAACUUGUAAAAAUUAGUGAGUUAUACGUGGGAAGCAUUUUGGCCUCACAAUUGAGAAGCAGAGAAGUGGUUCAAGGCUCAUGUAAGACUGCUGGGAUUUGAAAUGUAUCCUAUUAUUUGAAGACC